AGUAAACAACACCAUCGAGCUUAUGCAACUCGAUAUGUUCCAACGCAGUGUUCCUCUGGUGAACACCUCUAUCCUUAAUACUCGUCGUGUUCCUCUUGCAAACCAAGUGCCUAUACAUCACCCCAGUCUUCCUCAGAAUCUCCGAGGUCUCAAACGACGCCGCAUUCCCCUCCACCACUAUCCACAGCACAGGAGGCUCCACUAGCCUCAGCGUCUGAGCAACUCUGUUCAAGUAAUACGCCUGCAUCGCUCGGUUGUACGUUGGCGUCACCACGAUUACAAGCUUCCUCGGCGCAAAAUCCUCCUCCUUCUUAUUCUUCGAUUCCGCCGAGAAGCUUACUCCGUCCACGGCUACCUCUUCCCGUCGUUUCAACGAUUCUUCGACGUUCGGCGGUUUGAUCUCGAAAUUGAACCGAUCGGUGCCGUUCACGUCAUCGAUUUGACCGUACGGUGUCAUACCUAAUACGAAUCCGAUGAGGAAGAAAGCGAGGAAUUGGUAAAACGGUCGUCGCCAUGGACCUCUGCGGGAGGCUUUGGGAUCAGAGGAGGAGCUGUGUUUGCCGCUGCUCUUCUGAGAGGGGGAUGAUGACGUGGAGGAGGGGGAGAACGGUGCGCCUCCGUUCUCGUAAUGACGAUCGUGGUACACCGGCGAGAGAGUUCGCCGGAUUGAAGCCAUCUCAGAUUAUGCUAAACAUUGAUAAGCAGUUUCCAGAGAUUCAGAGCGCCGAUUCGAAGGAGCUGAUGAAGCUCAAGUCGGAAUCAGUCAAGGUCGUGGAGUUUAACUCUUUUAAGUCGCCGAUUCGGAUCCGUCGCCGCCGAGAUCUAGAAGAGAGCUGGAGGGGAAGUUGCGGAGAGAGAGAGAGAGAGAGAGAGAGAGAGAGAGAGAGAGAGAGAGAGAGAGAGAGAGAGAGAGAGAGAGAGAGAGAGAGAGAGAGAGAGAGAGAGAGAGAGAGAGAGAGAGAGAGAGAGAGUGUUGUCUCCUGCUUGGAAACACAACAUUGCAUGUUGUAUAAGAAGAUUAAUAAAGAGGUUUUGACCGAGAGAAAUCCACAGAUAAGGGGAAAAAAACACAUACUUGGAAACCUUCCUUCACGGUGUCUAGUUGGCGGGUUGGAUGUGAGAAGGGACGUCGCCAUCUUUUGGGGUCCCAGAGUAUAGUGCUGUUGAAAGCAAAUCCAGACAUAUCAACAUGGAACCUGCGUAGUCUUUUGCUCUUCUCAUUAGUGUGCCAUCCAAUUACUUGACUUCCGUUGCAUACUGGACCUUCAAGAAUUGCCUUGUUCUUGCUUGGCGCUAGCAUUGCAACAGGCCAAGUUCCAAAUCGUCUACACAGAACAAAAAGAAAUAUAUAAGUAUGAUAGAUUAAAAUGGGGGAAACAUACUUCAGAAGAAGUUUCACUCUGGAGUUGAAUAUGAAGCCGUCAGCAUUCACACUCAAUGGAAAGAAGAAAAUGCUCAGAAGACCAACAAAAGCAGGUACAUAGAGAAGUUCAAUAAAACCCUUUCCAAUAACAAGAAAUGAAGUAUUUUCUCAAACAAGAUAGGCUGAGCACAUGGAAGAGCAAGUAACAAAGCAGAGAAACAGUAAGAAUUGUAAUAUGCUACUACAAUUGAGUGUCAAACCAUAGCACUAACAACACUACAAUCACUGAGACUACUAUUACUGAGACUGCACAAUAAGAUGAAGACAAUAUAGUUCUGCUCAACUAACAAUUCAAAACAUAAGCAACACUAGAAUCACUAAGACUGCACAAUGAUGAAGACAUUAUAGUUCUGCACAACCAGCAACGAUCUAAUAUCUCUAUUCCCCACAAACCACUAGGUCGAAUCUAUGAAACAUUACAUCCACUACCACAAAUCAAAAGCAAAGAUCCACACUUUUUGCCUCACCUUAUGUGUCUCAAGCUCUGAAACAGCUCAAGCGAGUAGAUAUUAUCAUCAUCAGCAAAGUAAACAACACCAUCGAGCUUAUGCAACUCGAUAUGUUCCAACGCAGUGUUCCUCUGGUGAACACCUCUAUCCUUAAUACUCGUCGUGUUCCUCUUGCAAACCAAGUGCCUAUACAUCACCCCAGUCUUCCUCAGAAUCUCCGAGGUCUCAAACGACGCCGCAUUCCCCUCCACCACUAUCCACAGCACAGGAGGCUCCACUAGCCUCAGCGUCUGAGCAACUCUGUUCAAGUAAUACGCCUGCAUCGCUCGGUUGUACGUUGGCGUCACCACGAUUACAAGCUUCCUCG
This 2239-nucleotide long non-coding RNA is filed under the name Brassica napus (rape). RNAcentral's name for it is "long non-coding RNA (BNAP_LNC014183)". Lineage: Eukaryota; Viridiplantae; Streptophyta; Magnoliopsida; Brassicales; Brassicaceae. The record is from RNAcentral.